RNAcentral lists this ribosomal RNA (438 nucleotides) under uncultured bacterium. Its description in RNAcentral is "partial 16S ribosomal RNA". It matches the Rfam family "Bacterial small subunit ribosomal RNA", at positions 339 to 795 of the family's 1533-position model. The record is from RNAcentral.
CUACGGGUGGCAGCAGUGAGGAAUAUUGCACAAUGGGGGGAACCCUGAUGCAGCAACGCCGCGUGGAGGAUGACGCAUUUCGGUGUGUAAACUCCUUUUAUAUGUCAAGAAAAUGACGGUAGCAUAUGAAUAAGCACCGGCUAACUCCGUGCCAGCAGCCGCGGUAAUCAGAGGGUGCAAGCGUUACUCGGAAUCACUGGGCGUAAAGGACGCGUAGGCGGGUUGGAAAGUCAGGUGUGAAAUCCUACAGCUUAACUGUAGAACUGCACUUGAAACUUCUAAUCUAGAGUAUGGGAGGGGGAGAUGGAAUUAGUGGUGUAGGGGUAAAAUCCGUAGAUAUCACUAGGAAUACCUAAAGCGAAGGCGAUCUCCUGGAACAUUACUGACGCUAAGGCGUGAAAGCGUGGGGAGCAAACAGGAUUAGAUACCCUCGUAGUC